CCAGACUCCUACGGGAGGCAGCAGUGGGGAAUAUUGGGCAAUGGGCGCAAGCCUGACCCAGCAACGCCGCGUGAAGGAAGAAGGCUUUCGGGUUGUAAACUUCUUUUGUCAGGGACGAAGCAAGUGACGGUACCUGACGAAUAAGCCACGGCUAGCUACGUGCCAGCAGCCGCGGUAAUACGUAGGUGGCAAGCGUUAUCCGGAUUUACUGGGUGUAAAGGGCGUGUAGGCGGGACUGCAAGUCAGAUGUGAAAACCACGGGCUCAACCUGUGGCCUGCAUUUGAAACUGUAGUUCUUGAGUACUGGAGAGGCAGACGGAAUUCCUAGUGUAGUGGUGAAAUGCGUAGAUAUUAGGAGGAACACCAGUGGCGAAGGCGGUCUGCUGGACAGCAACUGACGCUGAGGCGCGAAAGCGUGGGGAGCAAACAGGAUUAGAUACCCCAGUACC
This 449-nucleotide ribosomal RNA is filed under the name uncultured bacterium. RNAcentral's name for it is "partial 16S ribosomal RNA". It matches the Rfam family "Bacterial small subunit ribosomal RNA", at positions 331 to 794 of the family's 1533-position model. The record is from RNAcentral.